Molecule: ribosomal RNA, 293 nt
Filed under: uncultured bacterium
Lineage: Bacteria
Description: partial 16S ribosomal RNA
Rfam family: Bacterial small subunit ribosomal RNA
Source: RNAcentral
GGAUUAGACACCCUGGUAGUCCACGCCGUAAACGAUGGAUACUAGCUGUAUGUCUACCUCAGGUAGAUGUGUGGCCAAGCGAAAGUGAUAAGUAUCCCACCUGGGGAGUACGAUCGCAAGAUUGAAACUCAAAGGAAUUGACGGGGGCCCGCACAAGCGGUGGAGCAUGUGGUUUAAUUCGAUGAUACGCGAGGAACCUUACCAGGGCUUAAAUAUAACGGGACAGGUCUAGAGAUAGACCCUUCUUCGGACUCAUUACAAGGUGCUGCAUGGUUGUCGUCAGCUCUGCUGCU